ACGGAGGGUGCAAGCGUUAUCCGGAAUCAUUGGGUUUAAAGGGUCCGUAGGCGGAUUGAUAAGUCAGGGGUGAAAUCCCACAGCUCAACUGUGGAACUGCCUUUGAUACUGUUAGUCUUGAAUUAUAUGGAAGUAGAUAGAAUAUGUAGUGUAGCGGUGAAAUGCUUAGAGAUUACAUAGAAUACCGAUUGCGAAGGCAGUCUACUACGUAUAUAUUGACGCUAAUGGACGAAAGCGUGGGGAGCGAACAGG
Molecule: ribosomal RNA, 252 nt
Filed under: uncultured bacterium
Lineage: Bacteria
Description: partial 16S ribosomal RNA
Rfam family: Bacterial small subunit ribosomal RNA
Source: RNAcentral